CCCUUUGCGCCGGACCGGGAAGGCUCCUAUAUUGUUGGGGUCGGCUUGCCGACUAUGGCGCUAAACCCCUUGCGGAAUAAGCGUAGUGGACCCGGGGGCAGUGCCCGGCGCCUCCACCAAUUCCCGCCCCGGCCCGGCAGUGCCGGCGGGGCGGGCUCAUGGGGGCGAAACAGGAUCGACACGCGUGGUAAAGGCUUGGGCUGUUCCCGGCAUGGUUCCGCCGUUAUCGGGCCGUUACUACAAGUGCCAACGACAAUGACAUGGCGCUCGCUGCCGCCUAAACAUCGGUAAGCGCGGUUCGGAGGGCACCGGGCAACAGAAGCCCUCCACU
This 331-nucleotide transfer-messenger RNA is filed under the name Roseospirillum parvum. RNAcentral's name for it is "Alphaproteobacteria transfer-messenger RNA". It matches the Rfam family "Alphaproteobacteria transfer-messenger RNA". Rfam says of the family: Bacterial tmRNA, also known as 10Sa RNA or SsrA, is named for its dual tRNA and mRNA-like properties. Its role is to liberate the mRNA from a stalled ribosome. To accomplish this part of the tmRNA is used as a reading frame that ends in a translation stop signal. The record is from Rfam by way of RNAcentral. Lineage: Bacteria; Pseudomonadati; Pseudomonadota; Alphaproteobacteria; Rhodospirillales; Rhodospirillaceae.